Molecule: long non-coding RNA, 1363 nt
Filed under: Ananas comosus (pineapple)
Lineage: Eukaryota; Viridiplantae; Streptophyta; Magnoliopsida; Poales; Bromeliaceae
Description: long non-coding RNA (ACOM_LNC008017)
Source: RNAcentral
AGCCUAAAAGUACAUGCGAGCAUUUCUGUGUUGGCUUAGAUGGGUCAGCAUCAUGCCCUGUAGCAGAAGGUCAUGUUGGGCCGAGUCAUAUUCGAAAUGGCUUAAGACUGGGUGGAAUGAGUCGUGUUCGAAAUAGCGUGAGACUGAUUGGGUCGAGUCAUAAUCGAGAUCCGUGUGCGCUGUAUUUGUAUGAUUUAAGUGAAUUGAUUGCCUAUUUCUACCUGUUCAAACUUUUGGGAUUAAUGGUUAACGUUACCGAUUCGAUAAGUAGUAUCAGCGUCAGAGUCUCCAGGUGCUGGAGGGGAGAUUAUUAGUUUAAAUGGAUCAGCAUUCUGCCUUAUGGCGAGAGGCUAUAUUGGGCUGAGUCAUAUUCGAAGUGGCGUGAGGCUGGGUGGGCUGAGUCAUAUUCGAAAUGGCGUAAGCUUGGUUGGGCCGAGUUACAAUCGAGACCCGUAGACACUGUAUCUGUAUACUUUAAGUGAAUUAGUUGCGUAUUUAUAACAGCUCGAGUUUUUAGGAUUAACGGUUAGCACCAACGAUUCACUUGCGUAUUUAUAACAGCUCGAGUUUUUAGGAUUAACGGUUAGCACCAACGAUCUGACAUUCUUCUCUCAAAGUAGUCUGCUUCUUCAAAAUACACAAAAUUGUCAUAGUUUUACGUGUCAUCUUUUUUCUUUUUUUUUUGUUUCCUCUUUAAUUAAUGUCUACAAAUCAUCCGUUGUUGUUUUCUUUUCUUUUUUUUCUUCUUCUAAAAAUCACCCUAGCUAGUUUUUAAAAUAGUUCAAUUUGUUAUAUAAUCGGUAUAUGCACAAACAAAGAAGUUGUUCCAACAAUUUUAUUAUAUGUAUUCACAACUAGAGAUAAUUGCCUAUAUACUCUUUAAAACUUUGGAAAUAUCUUAUUUAUCCCACUUUUUUUUUCUUUCCAAUAUACUCCUCAUGUGUUCCUUCGUUAUUCCAAAACAUUCUUAUAGUUACCACCCGUUAAAUUAACUUGAGUCAGUUAAAAAAAUUAAAAUAUCACUUUUGCUCUUAACUUAAUGACAAAUAAAAAAUAUUGGUGAUGAUAGAAAGAUAUAUUUGAAAAUACCAAAAAGCAAAAUACUUUUUUUUAUCCCUAACUUAAGGAUAAAUUAAAAAAGUCGGUGAUAGUAGAAGGGUAUGUUUAAAAGGGCAAACUAGUAAUUUCAUAGAAAUAACAGAGUUUAUUAAUAAAUUUUAACUUUAGGGGUAUAUUAGAAAUAGAUUGGAACGUAAAAAAAAUAUUUUCAAUAUUAGCUUUCUAAAAAAGGUAAAUUAGAAAGUUGAAAAUUUUUCAGAAAUAUAUAAGUUAUUGCCCCUAAAUAUAAUAUAAUAAACUAUUU